RNAcentral lists this unclassified non-coding RNA (263 nucleotides) under plant metagenome. RNAcentral describes it as "partial contains small subunit ribosomal RNA, internal transcribed spacer 1, and 5.8S ribosomal RNA". The record is from RNAcentral.
UUUCCGUAGGUGAACCUGCGGAAGGAUCAUUAUUGUAUAACCGAGGUGCGAGUGCUGUCGCUGACCCGAAAGGUCGUGCACCCCCGAGUUCCCUCACACACAUCCAUCGCCCCCCUAUUUCCACCACCGCUUGGGUCCCCUUAUGGCUUGUUCAUGUGGGGCCUUACGUUUUCACACAAACUUUGUAUGUAAUGUAGAAUGUAUUUUUUGUUUUCGCGAUCACGCAAUCAAUUCAACUUUCAACAACGGAUCUCUUGGCUCUC